RNAcentral lists this ribosomal RNA (442 nucleotides) under uncultured bacterium. RNAcentral describes it as "bacterial SSU rRNA". It matches the Rfam family "Bacterial small subunit ribosomal RNA", at positions 28 to 507 of the family's 1533-position model. The record is from RNAcentral.
GAUGAACGCUGGCGGCGUGCCUAAUACAUGCAAGUCGAGCGGUAAGGCCCUUCGGGGUACACGAGCGGCGGACGGCUGAGUAACGCGUAGGAAUAUACCCCAAAGUGAGGGAUAACUGCCCGAAAGGGUGGCUAAUACCGCAUAUGGUCUUCGGAUUAAAGCCUUCGGGCGCUUUGGGAAUAGCCUGCGUAAGAUUAGCUUGUUGGUGAGGUAAAAGCUCACCAAGGCGACGAUCUUUAGCUGGUCUGAGAGGAUGACCAGCCAGACUGGAACUGAGACACGGUCCAGACUCCUACGGGAGGCAGCAGUAGGGAAUUUUCCACAAUGGGCGAAAGCCUGAUGGAGCAACGCCGCGUGCAGGAUGAAGGCCCUCGGGUCGUAAACUGCUUUAUGUGAGAAGAAUAUGACGGUAACACAUGAAUAAGGGUCGGCUAACUACGUG